CAAUCCUACAAUCACAACGCAUGACAUACGCAGAAUUGGAGUGGAGGGGGGUCCCUCCUGCCCAGGGUCAGCUUUGCUGUAUGUUCAUGUCGUUCCGAAUAAAUCCUCUCUGUGAUACUUCUAUAGUUGCUUCCAUGCGUGCGCUCUCUGAGAUUACGCAUGGGACUACAAUAUAACAUCGUGUUCUGUUGUUCCCGUCUGAGUGGUAACUCACAAUAUAACAAGUUAAAACUUUCAACAACGGAUCUCUUGGUUCUCGCAUCGAUGAAGAACGCAGCGAAAUGCGAUAAGUAGUGUGAAUUGCAGAAUUCAGUGAAUCAUCGAAUCUUUGAACGCACAUUGCGCCUUCUGGUAUUCCGGGAGGCAUGCCUGUUCGAGCGUCAUGAAAAGCAUCCUCAAGCAUUUUGGCUUGGUUGUGGGAGAAGAUGGUUUCCAUCUCUCCUGGAAAGUCUCAGCAGAAGGCCUUGCAACCUCCGGUGUGAUAAAACCUAUUCACCUGAUGGCUACAAAGUCGUCCCGCUGUAUAGAAGCUCCCCCAGCAUUUUUACAUGUUGACCUCG
RNAcentral lists this ribosomal RNA (560 nucleotides) under Absconditella sp. GS5_2_17. RNAcentral's name for it is "eukaryotic LSU rRNA". The stretch from base 230 to 383 matches the Rfam family "5.8S ribosomal RNA". The record is from RNAcentral. Lineage: Eukaryota; Fungi; Ascomycota; Lecanoromycetes; Ostropales; Stictidaceae.